This 460-nucleotide ribosomal RNA is filed under the name uncultured bacterium. RNAcentral describes it as "partial 16S ribosomal RNA". It matches the Rfam family "Bacterial small subunit ribosomal RNA", at positions 338 to 795 of the family's 1533-position model. The record is from RNAcentral.
CCUACGGGUGGCAGCAGUGAGGAAUAUUGGUCAAUGGGCGGAAGCCUGAACCAGCCAAGUCGCGUGAGGGAUUAAGGCCCUAUGGGUCGUAAACCUCUUUUGUCAGGGAGCAAUGGCGUCCACGUGUGGGCGUCUGGAUAGUACCUGAAGAAAAAGCAUCGGCUAACUCCGUGCCCGCAGCCGCGGUAAUACGAGGGAUGCAAGCGUUAUCCGGUUUUAUUGGGUUUAAAGGGGGCGUAGGCGGGACCUUACGUCAGCGGGAAAAUUUCGGUGCUCAACGCAGUAGAGCCGUUGAAACUGGGGUUCUUGAGUGAGCGAGAAGUAUGCGGAAUGCGUGGUGUAGCGGUGAAAUGCAUAGAUAUCACGCAGAACCCCGAUUGCGAAGGCAGCAUACCGGCGCUCAACUGACGCUGAGGCACGAAAGUGCGGGUAUCGAACAGGAUUAGAUACCCUAGUAGUC